GUCCACGCCGUAAACGAUGAGAACUAGAUGUCGGGAGGAUCUGCCUUUCGGUGUCGCAGCUAACGCAUUAAGUUCUCCGCCUGGGGAGUACGCCGGCAACGGUAAAACUCAAAGGAAUUGACGGGGACCCGCACAAGCGGUGGAGCAUGUGGUUUAAUUCGAUGCAACGCGAAGAACCUUACCUGCCCUUGACAUUGACAGAACCCUCUGGAGACAGAGGGGUGCUUCGGCCUGGAAAACAGGUGCUGCAUGGCU
This 255-nucleotide ribosomal RNA is filed under the name uncultured bacterium. RNAcentral describes it as "partial 16S ribosomal RNA". It matches the Rfam family "Bacterial small subunit ribosomal RNA", at positions 793 to 1050 of the family's 1533-position model. The record is from RNAcentral.